Molecule: ribosomal RNA, 1460 nt
Filed under: Solanum tuberosum (potato)
Lineage: Eukaryota; Viridiplantae; Streptophyta; Magnoliopsida; Solanales; Solanaceae
Description: rRNA LSU_rRNA_eukarya
Rfam family: Eukaryotic large subunit ribosomal RNA
Source: Rfam by way of RNAcentral
GAUGGAACAAUGUAGGCAAGGGAAGUCGGCAAAAUGGAUCCGUAACUUUGGGAAAAGAAUUGGCUCUGAGGGUUUGGCAUGGGUAUCCCAGUCCCGAACCCACUGGCUGUCGGUGGACUUCUUGAGCAGAUCCCGCAGAAAAAGCGGGUCGCCGUGUGCCGGCCAGGGGACGAACUGGGAACGGUUCCUUCGGGGGGCUUCCCCGGGAGUCAAACAGCUAAUUCAGAACUGGUAUAGGCAAGGGGAAUUCGACUAUUUAAUUUUAACAAAGCGUUGCGAUGGUCCCAACGAAUGUUUACGCAAAGUUAUUUUUGUCCAGUGCUCUAAAUGUCAAAGUGAAGAAAUUCAACCAUGCGGGGGUAAACGGCCGGAGUGACUAUGACUCUCUUAAGGUAGCCAAAUGCCUCAUCAUCUUAUUAGUGAUGGGCAUGAAUGUAUUAACAAGAUUUCCACUGUCCCUGUCUAAUAUACAGCGAAACCACAGCCAAGGGAACAGGCUUGGCAAAAUCAACGGUUAAAGAAGACCAUAUUUAGCUUGAGUCUAGUCCGACUUUAUGAAAUGACUUCAGUGGUGUAGUAUAAGGGGGAGUCGGAAGGCGAAAGUGAAAGUGGGGAACUACCCCUAUUUUUUUACCCAAGGCUCACUUCGCGGGCCGAUCCGAGGGCAGACAUUGUCUGGUGGGGAGUUUAGCUAGGGCGGCACAUCUGUUAAAAGAUAACGCAGGUGUCCUAAGAUGAGCUCAACGAGAAUAGAAAAAUCGUGUGGAUCAGAAGGAUAAAAACUCGUUCGAUUCUGAUUUCCAGUACGAAUACGAAUCGUGAAAGCGUGGCCUAACGAUCUAUUAGAGCUUCGAAAUUCUAAGCUAGAGGUGUCAGAAAAGUUACCACAAGGAUAACUAGCUUGUGGCAGCCAAGUUAUAUAGCGAAGUUUAUUUUUGAUCCUUCGAUGUCGGCACUUCCUAUCAUUGUGAAUCAAAAUUCACCCAAGUGUUGAUUGUUCACCCACCAAUAGGGAAUGUGAGCUGGGUUUAGACCAUCGUGAGAAAGGUUAGUUUUACCCUACUGAUGACAGUGUCGCAAUAGUAAUAUAAUCUAGUAAGAGAGGAACCGUUGAUUCACAUAAUUAGUCAUCGCGCUUGGUUGAAAAGCUAGUGGCGCGAAGCUACCAUGUGUUGGAUUAUGAAUGAACGCCUCAAAGUCAGAAUCCAGGCAAGAAACGACGCAUGCGCCCGCCGUCAGCUUGCCGACCCGCAGUAGGGGCCAUUAGCCCCCAAGGGAACGUUUUGUUGGCUAAGUCACCGCGACGGAAGCGGCGCGGUGACUGCCUUGAAGUACAAUUUCCAUUGAGCGGUGGGUAGAAUCCUUUGCAGAAGACAUAAAUACGUGACGGGGUAUUGUAGGUGGAAGAGUGGCCUUGCUGCCACAAUCCACUGAGAUACAACCCUUCGUCACUCCGAUUC